GAUGAACGCUAGCUACAGGCUUAACACAUGCAAGUCGAGGGGAAACGAUAUUGGAAGCUUGCUUCCGAUAGGCGUCGACCGGCGCACGGGUGAGUAACGCGUAUCCAACCUGCCCAUCACUUGGGGAUAACCUUGCGAAAGUAAGACUAAUACCCAAUGACGUCUCUAGAAGACAUCUGAAAGAGAUUAAAGAUUUAUCGGUGAUGGAUGGGGAUGCGUCUGAUUAGCUUGUUGGCGGGGUAACGGCCCACCAAGGCGACGAUCAGUAGGGGUUCUGAGAGGAAGGUCCCCCACAUUGGAACUGAGACACGGUCCAAACUCCUACGGGAGGCAGCAGUGAGGAAUAUUGGUCAAUGGGCGAGAGCCUGAACCAGCCAAGUAGCGUGCAGGAAGACGGCCCUAUGGGUUGUAAACUGCUUCUAGAAGGGAAUAAAGUGGGAGUCGUGACUCCUUUUGCAUGUACCUUAUGAAUAAGGACCGGCUAAUUCCGUGCCAGCAGCCGCCGUAA
This 508-nucleotide ribosomal RNA is filed under the name uncultured bacterium. RNAcentral's name for it is "partial 16S ribosomal RNA". It matches the Rfam family "Bacterial small subunit ribosomal RNA", at positions 28 to 523 of the family's 1533-position model. The record is from RNAcentral.